Molecule: long non-coding RNA, 363 nt
Filed under: Mytilus galloprovincialis (Mediterranean mussel)
Lineage: Eukaryota; Metazoa; Mollusca; Bivalvia; Mytilida; Mytilidae
Source: RNAcentral
CAAUAAAUAGAAACUUUAUAGUAAUAAUAAUAAUUUAGAAUUAACAAAUAUUAAACAGUGUCUUUGAGCAGAGUUUUGGAAAUGGCAGUGAGCUGUCCAGUUUUAUCAUAUUCCAUAGCAGUCUUACCAUCUUCAUCCAGAUAAGUAAAAUUAGCACCAUUCUUCAUCAAGAAGAUAGCAGUGUCUAUAUGUUUUUCAUGGACAGUCACAUGCAAUGGUGUUUGUCUUUUUCCAUUUAUACUAUUAAUGUUAGCUCCACCUUGAAUGAGUAAGGAGACCAGUCUAUUGUUUCCUGAGGAUGCAGCGUAAUGUAGAGGACUUCCACCGUGUAAAUCACGGAGAUUGAUAUUGGCACCGUAUUGA